AUCGCAAACCAAUUUUCUCCAGAAUUUUCUUUUUCCGCCUCAGUGCACGCUGGUCUAACCUCUGAACCCUAAUACUGAUUUUCCUUUUCCUUUUCCUUUUCCUUUUCCUUUUCUUCUUCUCAUUAUCAGAUGUUUGUGAAUUCUACGGCCUUUGUGAUUCAGGUGAGGAAAUUUUUUGUCUGUAUGGACAUCCUAAUGAAACAUGGGAAAUGGUUCUUCCAGUAGGCAGAGGUUCCACCGGAGCUUCUAGAGCCUGCACUUGGAAUUAAUUUUGCAACAGAUGGCAUGGACAGAAAAUAUUGGCGACCUCUUGUUGCUGUACAUGGUGAUUCCUGUUUGCUCUCUGUGGCUUUCUAUUUUGGAGCAAGACUUGACCGAAGCAAAAGCAAGCAUUGAGUAUCAAACUCCACACAUGCAACUAUGGCGGACUUAGUAAUUUCAUCCAACAGGUAGCGGCUUUGCACUUACUAGAAGAUACAUAAAUCCCAAUUCAGGAAACUUUUGAACAUCAUCUCUGACAACUUCUUAGGUGAGGUAAUUAAGAGGAAAAGGGAACAUAAAGUCGAAUGGGAUAAUGGUGAAAAUUGAAUUCUAUAUGGAAGAACAGAAAUUCCUUCAAGAUCAGCCAGAGGGAAGAAUGUUGCCUUCUACAUUUUUACAAUUGUUUAGCACAUGAAAUGUAACACUCUUAACUUAGCCUUCCUCUGUCAUUUAUAACUUUACAAAUUGGUCUUCUGAAGGAACAUGACGAACCACAAGCUGCUUUUGAGCUAUCUUUUCGCAAAUGAGGUGCGGCCAUCGUUUUCAGUAUGUUUGGAACGAUUGUAAAGCACCGGAUUAGCAACAUGGUACGUGUGGCACUUACAUUAUCACAAAGCAGUAGUGGAACAAGCAUUGAUUUCAGACGACAUAAGGACUGAAACCACAUCAAUUCAGCAGAAACAUUGCACAUAUAUGACGAUCAUCAUCGGGACAAUUAAGGAGAGAUGAUCAAACUUAGAAAAAAUAAUUAAAAGAUAUAGUACUAAACUUAAGAUAUCGUAGGAUGUGCUUAACAGGAAGCUAAUGUACAAAAGUAGGAGCAUGAAGGAACGUACACACUUCGUUUAAUAUAAUGACAAUGAUGAAUUUUUUACUCUUAA
This is a long non-coding RNA of Cucumis sativus (cucumber), 1142 nucleotides long. RefSeq lists it as uncharacterized. The transcript has 4 exons. The record is from RefSeq and is a predicted model, not a curated record. NCBI's taxonomy places the organism in Eukaryota, Viridiplantae, Streptophyta, Magnoliopsida, Cucurbitales, Cucurbitaceae.